CUAAGUUUGAUGGCGACCGGCGCACGGGUGAGUAACACGUAUCCAACCUGCCGAUGACUCGGGGAUAGCCUUUCGAAAGAAAGAUUAAUACCCGAUGGCAUAGUUCUUCCGCAUGGUAGAACUAUUAAAGAAUUUCGGUCAUCGAUGGGGAUGCGUUCCAUUAGGUUGUUGGCGGGGUAACGGCCCACCAAGCCUUCGAUGGAUAGGGGUUCUGAGAGGAAGGUCCCCCACAUUGGAACCGAGACACGGUCCAA
RNAcentral lists this ribosomal RNA (254 nucleotides) under uncultured bacterium. Its description in RNAcentral is "partial 16S ribosomal RNA". It matches the Rfam family "Bacterial small subunit ribosomal RNA", at positions 79 to 334 of the family's 1533-position model. The record is from RNAcentral.